CUAAGAAUAUUCCGCAAUGGACGGAAGUCUGACGGAGCGACGCCGCGUGGAUGACGAAGGCCGAAAGGUUGUAAAGUUCUUUUGCUGGGGAAGAAUAACCGCAGGAGGGAAUGCCUGUGGGAUGACAAGAACCGGCGAAUAAGCCCCGGCCAACUACGUGCCAGCAGCCGCGGUAACACGUAGGGGGGCGAGCGUUGUUCGGAAUUACUGGGCGUAAAAGGGCAUGUAGGCGGCUUGGAAAGCCUGGCGUGAAAGUCUGCAAGCUUAACUGCAGGGGUGCGCUGGGAACUGCUGAGCUUGAGUGACGGAGAGGGAGCUGGAAUUCCUGGUGUAGGGGGUGAAAAUCUGUAGAUAUCAGGAAGAACACCGAUGGCGAAGGCAAGCUCCUGGCCGAUGACUGACGCUGAGGUGCGAAAGUGUGGGGGAUCAAAACAGGAUUAGAUACCCUGGUAGUCCACACAGUCAACGAUGUGCACUAGGUGCUGGGGGC
This 490-nucleotide ribosomal RNA is filed under the name uncultured bacterium. RNAcentral describes it as "partial 16S ribosomal RNA". It matches the Rfam family "Bacterial small subunit ribosomal RNA", at positions 355 to 830 of the family's 1533-position model. The record is from RNAcentral.